Non-coding RNA from Cricetulus griseus (Chinese hamster), 59 nucleotides. The record is from Rfam. NCBI's taxonomy places the organism in Eukaryota, Metazoa, Chordata, Mammalia, Rodentia, Cricetidae.
UGGCUCAAAGGUUAAGAGCACUGGGCUGCUCUUCCAGAGGUCCUGAGUUCAAUUCCCAG